GGGGAUUUAGCUUAGUGGUUCCAGUGCCUGCCUCGCAAGUAUGAGGACCCAAGUUUGAUCCCUGGUACCCCCC
Non-coding RNA from Fukomys damarensis (Damara mole-rat), 73 nucleotides. NCBI's taxonomy places the organism in Eukaryota, Metazoa, Chordata, Mammalia, Rodentia, Bathyergidae. The record is from Rfam.